AUGGCUGUAAUGUCGAGGCACAUCGGAGGGCCGCCGCCGGCCGCCGUGGCUGAAACGGGCAACCGCCCGGCGGAGUCGCCCCAGCACGAUACCGUCGGCAAGAAAGCUGACGGCGGCGAGGUCGACAACUUGUCCCCCGUGGAGGACAUCCAGGAAGAGAUCGACGGAUUAGAAUCGUCGACGGUCGAAAUGGAACAAGGCUCCGCUCAGAAAUCGCUCUCUAUCGAGGUGGACCAGGCUGCGGCAGGUACGGACAAGGAGGAGACCACCGCAGAGGUGGCCGAAGCCGCCGCCGCCGGAGUCGGCUCUCGUAGCAAGAACUUCGACCCGCUGGAGGGAAUGAUUGCGGAUAAGUCUGAGUGCAGCGGAGAGGAACUGCCCGGCGCCGCCACGGAAGCUACAGCCAGCAGAGCGCGCGGGCAGGGAUUGACUCUGGCUGACAAGACUGCCUGCGGCACUUCGGCGGGAUCAGCGAGCGACGCCAAGCGCAUCGAAGCGCCGGCCAAGCUCGAGGCGAAUCCUCUCAUCACCCUAGUAAUUGCCGAAACGGGUUCCGAAAGCACUGAAUCACUGAAAGGGGUUGACAAUGCAGAGUUCUUCAUACAAAUCGACACAGACUCUCACGGCAUGGGGCUGGCAGCCAUGGUGGAAACAGAGAAUGGAGCUUCUUUGUCCACCAAGUCUCAGCCGAGGGUUGAACAGCCGCCCCUGCCUGUCCCUAUAGUCUCGCACCACCGUGGCACUGCCCAGGAGCUGAUGAAAGUUACCAGUAGAGUGGAUGCAGAACGUAAGUUGAAAGAGAUCGAACUGUCGAACAUUCAGAAGCACACAAAUGACCGUGACAUUGGCAGAGGUCGUCAGGACACAGGCACCAGCAACAGAACUCAUUUCUCACACAGCUCUUCUGGGGAGUGCUCAGCUCAACUUCUGGAUCAUUUAGGGACAUAA
Molecule: ribosomal RNA, 948 nt
Filed under: Triticum aestivum (bread wheat)
Lineage: Eukaryota; Viridiplantae; Streptophyta; Magnoliopsida; Poales; Poaceae
Description: partial small subunit ribosomal RNA
Source: RNAcentral